CACAGCGUACUCAGCCACCACCUCGGGUGCCACCUUCGCAGACUCGGACCCUGGGGUUACCAUGUUUGGCUUCAGGAGAGUCCCUUCUAGGAGAACAUGGUGGUCGUUAAGUGCCUUGUAGCAAGCAGCAAGCACCCUCUCUGUAACAUCAGCACAACGUUUGAUGUCGUGUGGCCCAUCAACAAGGAUCUCAGGCUCUACAAUGGGUACCAGGCCAUUCUCCUGGCAGAUAAUAGCAUAGCGGGCCAACCCAUGAGCAUUUAGAUCGAUGGCUAGCUGAGAUGGC
Molecule: long non-coding RNA, 286 nt
Filed under: Elaeis guineensis (African oil palm)
Lineage: Eukaryota; Viridiplantae; Streptophyta; Magnoliopsida; Arecales; Arecaceae
Description: long non-coding RNA (EGUI_LNC018016)
Source: RNAcentral